This 2314-nucleotide long non-coding RNA is filed under the name Gossypium barbadense (sea-island cotton). Its description in RNAcentral is "long non-coding RNA (GBAR_LNC013067)". Lineage: Eukaryota; Viridiplantae; Streptophyta; Magnoliopsida; Malvales; Malvaceae. The record is from RNAcentral.
UUCAUUCAUUUUUUUUCAUUCCAACUUAUACCAAAUUAUAUAAUAUAAUAUUUACCAUUUUAUCAAACUAAUAACAAAAUAUGGUAUACCAUUCUUAUAACUAACUUUACAAGUAUAUCUAUAUAACUUAUAAAUCACCUAGUACAUGCCACUUUCAAUUAAAACAUCACCCAAAAUUUGCUGGAGUCGGGAUCGUUCAGAUGCUGGACCAGGGUACCAGACUCCUAUUAACCUGCGCACGGAAACAACCGCACGCUGAGUAUUCCGUACUCAGUGGUAUUACCAUAAUUCAAAUUAUAAUAGCAAUAAAGAAUUUUAAUUACCAAACAUGUAACUAUCUAAUUUCACAAAUAUCAAUUCAUUCUUAAACUUUCAUUAAUUAAUAAUAACGAUACAAUUUUUAUCUAUUCUUCAGUUUCCAUCACAUAUUACAUGUAACAAUUUCAAUCACUACAUGAACAUUAAGUUCAUGCCUGUCAUUUUCAAUCUCAAUUUCAAUCCACUAUUCAACUUUUUCGUUUCUUUCAAUAUUUCAAUAAUAUAAUCAAUCAAUUUAUUUUAAAUUUCUCAUCUUAGAUAUUCACCCUAUUAACAAAUCCGGACUUUGACGGAUACACGGAUUCCAACCCAAACACACCAGUACGGCACAUUGUGCCUAAAACGAUACAUAGUACCUGAUCAGUAUACGACACAUAAAGUGCCUAAAACGACACACGAGGUGCCUGAUACGACACACGAGGUGCCUGAAAUACGACACAUAAAGUGCCUGAUCAGUAAAGCCGGCAAAUCCCGUACACUUCCAUAUCCUAUGGCAUGCCAAUUAUAUCCGACUCAGCCCGACUAGUUAAUAGGGUAUUUCUAUUCUCAAUUCACUUUCAUUUCCAUUCCAAGAUUACUUUUCAAUUAAAACUUUCACAUUCAAAUCAAUUUACAAUUCAAUUAUACAUACACAUUCACCAUUCAAUUCAAUUCUCAUUCAACUCAAAUAUCAAUACUUACCUUAUAAUUCACUUAUUAAAUAUAGAAGUGAUAUAAACAUUUAAUAAAAAAGUAAAUUGAAUUAUAGUAAUACAAACCGUGAAUUUCUCGUUUUAAUCCUCGAUAGCUUUCUCCUUUCCUUUGUGCGCCGAUGUCUUGGAUUCUUUGUUAACUACGAAAAUAAUAAUAAUUUAUAAUCAUCAAUAUAACACAAUUCAAUUUAAUCCAUGAGCCUUAACAUGCAAAUUUAACCAUUUUUAAUGUAUAUAUAUAAUUUCACCAUUAAGCUGUCUACUUGAGCCAUUGUUACUAAAUUAUUUAUAUAUUGAGCUGCGAAACUCCAAAUUAAUAUCCAUAAAUUUUCCUUAAAACUAGACUCAUAUAUCUUCUCACCAUAAGAUUUUCAGAAUUUUUUGUCUAGCCAAUUAGUACAGUUUAUUCAUUAAAUACUCCCCUGUUAUUUCAUUUGACAGUUCUGACCUCUCUCUACUAAAAAUAAAUUAUCUCAUUGUACAGAACUCGAAUAAGGUUCUUGUUUACUUAUUUUGAAACUAGAUUCAUUAAGGAGUUCACACAUAUAAAUUACACUCCAUAAUAAUUUUUGUACAAUUUAUAAUGAUUUUCAAAAUUUAAAAUAGGGCAUCUCGAAAUCACCCCAAACCAGUCUUAUAAAAUUUCAAAUAUCUCUUGAUUCAUCAAUUCAUUGCUUACAAUAUUUAUACUAUAAGAAACUAGACUCAAUAAGCUUUAAUUACAUAUUUUAUUAUCCUCUAAUUCAAUUUCUACAAUUUUUGAUGAUUUUUCAAACUUAAACUACUGCUGCUGUCUAAAAUAGUCUUAGUACAAAAUGUUGAUUUACUUUAAUUUCAAUUUAAUCCUAACUAAAUUCACUUAAUUUUCUAUCUUAUUUCAUACUUUAUUUCUAUUCAAAUUUUGUCCAAACUACUUAACUAUUAAAUUUCCAGCAUAUUUUCAUAAUUUCGAAUUUAUUUCCAUUUAAUCCCUAAAACUCAAAACUUAUAACUUAGUUUACGAUUCAAUCCUUUAUUCAAUUCUAAUCAAAAUUUCGAUCAAAUAAACCCCUAAUUCCAUCAUUUUGUUCAUCAUGAACUUUGUUUAAAAACUUAAAAACUUCUAAACUACUAACUUAAUUCUAUCAAAACCUUAUUUUAAUACUUUUAGAACAUCAAAAUUAAGAGAAGGACAUGAUUGAACUUACCAAUUAAACUCCAAGCUUCAAAAACCCUAUUUCCCCUUUUCUCUCUUUUAUUUUCUUCUUUCCUUCCCCUGCUCGAAUGCUUUCUGUUCUCUUUUCUCUAUUCUUUUUGUUUCUUUU